GAGCUUGCUCCACUUGGUUUAGCGGCGGACGGGUGAGUAACACGUGGGCAACCUGCCCUGCAGAUCGGGAUAACUCCGGGAAACCGGUGCUAAUACCGAAUAGUUUGCGGCCUCUCCUGAGGCUGCACGGAAAGACGGUUUCGGCUGUCACUGCAGGAUGGGCCCGCGGCGCAUUAGCUAGUUGGUGGGGUAAUGGCCCACCAAGGCGACGAUGCGUAGCCGACCUGAGAGGGUGAUCGGCCACACUGGGACUGAGACACGGCCCAGACUCCUACGGGAGGCAGCAGUAGGGAAUCUUCCGCAAUGGACGAAAGUCUGACGGAGCAACGCCGCGUGAGUGACGAAGGUUUUCGGAUCGUAAAACUCUGUUGUGAGGGAAGAACACGUGCCAAGUAACUACUGGCAUUUUGACGGUACCUCACCAGAAAGCCACGGCUAACUACGUGCCAGCAGCCGCGGUAAUACGUAGGUGGCAAGCGUUGUCCGGAAUUAUUGGGCGUAAAGCGCGCGCAGGCGGUCCUUUAAGUCUGAUGUGAAAGCCCACGGCUCAACCGUGGAGGGUCAUUGGAAACUGGAGGACUUGAGUGCAGAAGAGGAAAGUGGAAUUCCAUGUGUAGCGGUGAAAUGCGUAGAGAUGUGGAGGAACACCAGUGGCGAAGGCGACUUUCUGGUCUGUAACUGACGCUGAGGCGCGAAAGCGUGGGGGAGCAACAGGAUUAGAUACCCUGGUA
RNAcentral lists this ribosomal RNA (731 nucleotides) under uncultured Planococcus sp. RNAcentral describes it as "bacterial SSU rRNA". It matches the Rfam family "Bacterial small subunit ribosomal RNA", at positions 76 to 792 of the family's 1533-position model. Lineage: Bacteria; Bacillati; Bacillota; Bacilli; Caryophanales; Caryophanaceae. The record is from RNAcentral.